RNAcentral lists this ribosomal RNA (497 nucleotides) under uncultured bacterium. RNAcentral's name for it is "partial 16S ribosomal RNA". It matches the Rfam family "Bacterial small subunit ribosomal RNA", at positions 28 to 507 of the family's 1533-position model. The record is from RNAcentral.
GAUGAACGCUGGCGGCGUGCCUAAUACAUGCAAGUCGAGCGAACAGACGAGGAGCUUGCUCCUCUGACGUUAGCGGCGGACGGGUGAGUAACACGUGGAUAACCUACCUAUAAGACUGGGAUAACUUCGGGAAACCGGAGCUAAUACCGGAUAAUAUAUUGAACCGCAUGGUUCAAUAGUGAAAGACGGUUUUGCUGUCACUUAUAGAUGGAUCCGCGCCGCAUUAGCUAGUUGGUAAGGUAACGGCUUACCAAGGCAACGAUGCGUAGCCGACCUGAGAGGGUGAUCGGCAACACUGGAACGGAGACACGGUCCAGACUCCUACGGGAGGCAGCAGUAGGGAAUCUUCCGCAAUGGGCGAAAGCCUGACGGAGCAACGCAGCGUGGUUGAUGAAGGUCUUCGGAUCGUAAAACUCUGUUAUUAGGGAAGACCAAUUGUGUAAGUAACUAUGCACGUCUUGACGGUACCUAAUCAGAAAGCCACGGCUAACUACGUG